CCAUUUCGGGUCUGAAGCAUUUAGUUAUAACACUUUUUUCGAAAGCGAAAAACAUGAAUUUUAUUUUUGCUGCUUACAUCCUGAUUUCUAUUUCUAGUUUGGACGUGGUGAAAUCGGAGGGAACCUGCAGUCUUCCAGCGAUGACUGGGCCUUGCAAAGCAAUGUUCCACAGAUUCGCUUUCAGAGUCAGUGCCAAAAGGUGCGUUCCAUUUAUAUAUGGUGGCUGUGGUGGCAACGAAAACAAUUUCGAUUCUAUCCAAGCGUGUGAAGCCGCAUGUAAAAAAAGAAGUCUACCUGGGUAAACAUUUAACUUACAAGUUUUACUUUACAUUUGUCAAUCUAAAUUACCAUUUAGCUUUAAGAAUUCCAUUACCAUAACCAAUAUAAUUACGAUAAUAUCUCCAAA
This is a long non-coding RNA of Drosophila biarmipes, 406 nucleotides long. RefSeq lists it as uncharacterized. The transcript has 2 exons. The record is from RefSeq and is a predicted model, not a curated record. Lineage: Eukaryota; Metazoa; Arthropoda; Insecta; Diptera; Drosophilidae.